RNAcentral lists this ribosomal RNA (253 nucleotides) under uncultured bacterium. Its description in RNAcentral is "partial 16S ribosomal RNA". It matches the Rfam family "Bacterial small subunit ribosomal RNA", at positions 524 to 776 of the family's 1533-position model. The record is from RNAcentral.
UACAGAGGGUGCAAGCGUUGCUCGGAUUUACUGGGCGUAAAGCGUACGCAGACGGUGAGAAAGGUCGGAUGUGAAAGCCCCGGGCUCAACCCUGGAACUGCAUCCGAAACCAUCUCGCUAGAGUAUGAGAGAGGGAAGCAGAAUUCCUGGUGUAGAGGUGAAAUUCGUAGAUAUCAGGAGGAAUACCUGCGGCGAAGGCGGCUUCCUGGCUCAUUACUGACGUUCAGGUAUGAAAGCGUGGGUAGCAAACAGG